AAGACGGUUGGAGCAGGACACAUCAGGAUGAUGUUGCUUCAGGAUGAAGUGAAGGACACGCUCAGGAAGAGUGAUAAAGGAUGUGCCACAGGAUGUUGGCCAGGAUACUUCAGGAUGAAGUCAGGGACACCUCCAGGACGGAGAUUGAGAGCCAGUUAGGAUAACAGGCGGGUUAGGAAGACUGAGGAACAGCAUCAGGAUGAUGCAGGAUGAAACGUCAGGAUGAAAGUUGGACGAUACGACGGAUUGUCGGGAAAUGGAUAGCCGUACGGAAAAGUUUUCAUGGAUGAGCAGGGAGCACAAUGAGUAGCAGGAUUGCUAUAAGACGAACCGGGCGUACUGUGUAAAAACAGUACGCCUUUUUUUUUGC
This 370-nucleotide non-coding RNA is filed under the name Hafnia alvei FB1. Lineage: Bacteria; Pseudomonadati; Pseudomonadota; Gammaproteobacteria; Enterobacterales; Hafniaceae. The record is from RNAcentral.